UACAGAGGUCCCAAGCGUUGUUCGGAUUCACUGGGCGUAAAGGGUGCGUAGGCGGUCGGGUAAGUCUGAUGUGAAAUCUCACAGCUUAACUGUGAAACUGCAUUGGAUACUAUCCGGCUCGAGGAAUGGAGGGGAGACUGGAAUACUUGGUGUAGCAGUGAAAUGCGUAGAUAUCAAGUGGAACACCAGUGGCGAAGGCGUGUCUCUGGACAUUUCCUGACGCUGAGGCACGAAAGCCAGGGGAGCAAACGGG
Molecule: ribosomal RNA, 253 nt
Filed under: uncultured bacterium
Lineage: Bacteria
Description: partial 16S ribosomal RNA
Rfam family: Bacterial small subunit ribosomal RNA
Source: RNAcentral